CCUACGGGGCGCAGCAGUGAGGAAUAUUGGUCAAUGGGCGAGAGCCUGAACCAGCCAAGUCGCGUGAGGGAGUACUGCCCUAUGGGUUGUAAACCUCUUUUGUCGGGGAGCAAAAGCCGGACGUGUCCGGCUGUGAGAGUACCCGAAGAAAAAGCAUCGGCUAACUCCGUGCCAGCAGCCGCGGUAAUACGGAGGAUGCGAGCGUUAUCCGGAUUUAUUGGGUUUAAAGGGUGCGCAGGCGGAUUUUUAAGUCAGCGGUAAAAUCGUGGGGCUCAACCCCCUCCAGCCGUUGAAACUGGGGAUCUAGAGUGUGCGAGAGGUAUGCGGAAUGCGUGGUGUAGCGGUGAAAUGCAUAGAUAUCACGCAGAACCCCGAUUGCGAAGGCAGCAUACCGGUGCACAACUGACGCUCAGGCACGAAAGCGUGGGUAUCGAACAGGAUUAGAUACCCUAGUAGUC
RNAcentral lists this ribosomal RNA (458 nucleotides) under uncultured bacterium. RNAcentral's name for it is "partial 16S ribosomal RNA". It matches the Rfam family "Bacterial small subunit ribosomal RNA", at positions 338 to 795 of the family's 1533-position model. The record is from RNAcentral.